CAGCAGCCACGGUAAUACGAAGGGGGCUAGCGUUGUUCGGAUUUACUGGGCGUAAAGGGCGCGUAGGCAGACUGAUAAGUCAGGGGUGAAAUCCCAAGGCUCAACCUUGGAACUGCCUUUGAUACUGUUUGUCUUGAGUUCGAGAGAGGUAAGUGGAACUGCGAGUGUAGAGGUGAAAUUCGUAGAUAUUCGCAAGAACACCAGUGGCGAAGGCGGCUUACUGGCUCGAAACUGACGCUGAGGCGCGAAAGCGUGGGGAGCAAACAGGAUUAGAUACCCCAGUAGUCCCUGUCUCUUAUAA
This 301-nucleotide ribosomal RNA is filed under the name uncultured bacterium. Its description in RNAcentral is "partial 16S ribosomal RNA". It matches the Rfam family "Bacterial small subunit ribosomal RNA", at positions 509 to 809 of the family's 1533-position model. The record is from RNAcentral.